UUUCCGUAGGUGAACCUGCGGAAGGAUCAUUAAUGAGUUGUCAUGGGGUUCGAUGCUGGCAGCCAGUUUUUGGAUGCAUGUGCUUGCCCUAGCAAUCAUCUUCUUCCAAACACCUGUGCACAUUUUUGAGGGAGUCUUGAGUUGGUUGCCGCUCUUGGGUGAUUUUCUCACAUUCCCUUAAAUCAUUAUACGCUAUUAACAAUGUUGAACGAGCUCUGUGCCGCAAGGCCAUUAAUAUAAUACAACUUUUAACAACGGAUCUCUUGGCUCUC
This 272-nucleotide unclassified non-coding RNA is filed under the name plant metagenome. Its description in RNAcentral is "partial contains small subunit ribosomal RNA, internal transcribed spacer 1, and 5.8S ribosomal RNA". The record is from RNAcentral.